AAGAAGAAGAAAAAAAUAUCAAUUCAAUACUCGGUCGCGCAUCACAACAAGUUCAGCAGAACCUACUAAAGCAAGCCAACACGAUCGCGGCAUUACCACGGGCGAUGGCGAGGCUAAGGCGUUGGAACAGCCAAGCACUCUCACGAGCAUCACCUGACACCUCUGUGAGAAGGCAAGCCGCUAAUGAUGACAUGAACUUCGCUGUCAGCGGCCCAAGCCCCUCCAAACGUCUCAAACGUCACAGACUGGAAAAAAAUAGUUCUCGGACAAGUCCGAUGCUUAAGGAUUUUGUUCCGUUCGUCUUCGGAAGCAAUGAUCCUCCCAUUUACCGCAGUAUCUAGGAUGUGGGGAGGAGUCACUGACUAUGGCGUCGCAGAUGAGGUACCUAAUUCUUACCCAGGGAUAAAGGGUAAGACCAUCUGGUCUCUUCCCAUCAUUUCCGGAUAAUCCUGCGGGAUUCAGAACAGAAAAGAUAUUAACCCGAGCCAGGGCCCGCUGAAUGGUUAGGUUUAGCUCGGUGUGAUGAGCGAAACGAGCAGCAGUUUAGGCCACAAGACAAACCAUGAAGGCCUGUGAAGUCAAUGGGCUUAUCGCAGCGACAUCUCAGUAUUCCAUAGACAUCGGUUUCCACUUUUGAGUGCAAUGGAGAUGCGGAGCUUAUCCAGACUGAGUAGACCGCCAAUGUUGACCACAGGCCGGGCAUCAAUCCAGUCCCUUGAAAAUAUCGCACUUGCAAGGUUACCUUUUGCGGUGUUAGAGAAACUAUUUGUCAUCGACAAAACUUUAACUUCCUCAACGUUUUCCGUCGAAAUUUUAGCUUCUUCAACAUUUUCCGCAAAUACUUUUUAGCCUAAUAUUAUGCUGCUUUUUAAAUUUUCUCAUGGUC
Molecule: long non-coding RNA, 886 nt
Organism: Octopus sinensis (East Asian common octopus)
Lineage: Eukaryota; Metazoa; Mollusca; Cephalopoda; Octopoda; Octopodidae
Exons: 2
Source: RefSeq, a predicted model, not a curated record